UGUUCGAGCGUCAUUAUGACCAAUCAAGCUCUGCUUGGCCUUGGGGCCCGCUGUACCGGCGGCCCUUAAAACCAGUGGCGGUGCGUCUGGCUUUAAGCGUAGUAAUACUUCUCGCUAUAGGGUCCAGUCGUCCACCGGUCAGAACUCCCCAACUUUCUUAGGUUGACCUCGGAUCAGGUAGGGAUACCCGCUGAACUUAA
Molecule: unclassified non-coding RNA, 200 nt
Filed under: soil metagenome
Description: partial contains internal transcribed spacer 2 and large subunit ribosomal RNA
Source: RNAcentral